This 253-nucleotide ribosomal RNA is filed under the name uncultured bacterium. RNAcentral describes it as "partial 16S ribosomal RNA". It matches the Rfam family "Bacterial small subunit ribosomal RNA", at positions 524 to 776 of the family's 1533-position model. The record is from RNAcentral.
UACGAAGGGGACUAGCGUUGUUCGGAGUUACUGGGCGUAAAGCGCGCGUAGGCGGAUCGCUAAGUCAGGGGUGAAAUCCCAGGGCUCAACCCUGGAACUGCCUUUGAUACUGACGAUCUGGAGAUCGGGAGAGGUGAGUGGAAUUCCGAGUGUAGAGGUGAAAUUCGUAGAUAUUCGGAGGAACACCAGAAGCGAAGGCGGCUCACUGGCCCGAUACUGACGCUGAGGCGCGAAAGCGUGGGGAGCAAACAGG